GCCAUUGCUAUCAGGGUUUGACUAAGCCAUGCGAGUCGAGAGGUGUAAGACCUCGGCAUACUGCUCAGUAACACGUGGUUAACCUGCCCUAAGGUGGAGAAUACUCCCGGGAAACUGGGGCUAAUGCUCCAUAGUGGAUAUGUCCUGGAAUGGUAUAUCCUCGAAAGAUCCGUCGCCUUAGGAUGGGACUGCGUCCGAUUAGGUUGUUGGCGGGGUAACGGCCCACCAAGCCUUUUAUCGGUACGGGUUGUGGGAGCAAGAUCCCGGAGAUGGAUUCUGAGACAUGAACCCAGGUCCUACGGGGCGCAGCAGGCGCGCAAACUUUACAAUGCGAGCAAUCGUGAUAAGGAAACCCUGAGUGCCUGUCGAUGCAGGCUGUUCAUAUAUCUAAAUCAUAUGUGAAGAAAGGGCAGGGCAAGACCGGUGCCAGCCGCCGCGGUAAUACCGGCUGCUCGAGUGAUGGCCACUAUUACUGGGUUUAAAGCGUCCGUAGCUUGACUGUUAGGUCUCUUGGGAAAUCUUCGCGCUCAACGUGAAGGCGUCUAAGAGAUACCGGCAGUCUUGGAACUGGGAGAGGUAAACCGUACUUCGGGGGUAGGAGUGAAAUCCUGUAAUCCUCGAGGGACCACCUGUGGCGAAGGCGCCUCACCAGAACGGCUUCGACAGUGAGGGACGAAAGCUGGGGGAGCAAACCGGAUUAGAUACCCGGGUAGUCCCAGCCGUAAACGAUGCGCGUUAGGUGUAUCGGUGACCACGAGUCACCGAGGUGCCGAAGGGAAACCGUGAAACGCACCACCUGGGAAGUACGGUCGCAAGGCUGAAACUUAAAGGAAUUGGCGGGGGAGCACCACAACGGGUGGAGCCUGCGGUUUAAUUGGACUCAACGCCGGAAAUCUCACCGGAUAAGACAGCUGAAUGAUUGUCAAUCUGAAGGUUUUACAUGACUAGCUGAGAGGAGGUGCAUGGCCGUCGUCAGUUCGUACUGUGAAGCAUCCUGUUAAGUCAGGCAACGAGCGAGACCCA
This 1023-nucleotide ribosomal RNA is filed under the name uncultured Methanocorpusculum sp. RNAcentral describes it as "bacterial SSU rRNA". It matches the Rfam family "Archaeal small subunit ribosomal RNA", at positions 23 to 1054 of the family's 1478-position model. The record is from RNAcentral. Lineage: Archaea; Methanobacteriati; Methanobacteriota; Methanomicrobia; Methanomicrobiales; Methanocorpusculaceae.